CGUCCGGCCCGGACCCUGUCGCCCCACGAGGCGCGGUCAACGAGUCGGGUUGUUUGGGAAUGCAGCCCAAAUCGGGCGGUAGACUCCGUCCAAGGCUAAAUACAGGCGAGAGACCGAUAGCGAACAAGCCCCGCGAGGGAAAGAUGAAAAGGACUUUGAAAAGAGAGUCAAAGAGUGCUUGAAAUUGCCGGGAGGGAAGCGGAUGGGGGCCGGCGAUGCGCCCCGGC
Molecule: non-coding RNA, 227 nt
Organism: Hordeum vulgare subsp. vulgare (domesticated barley)
Lineage: Eukaryota; Viridiplantae; Streptophyta; Magnoliopsida; Poales; Poaceae
Source: Rfam